UAGUCUGAUGCCAAGGUUCCGGACGACCAGGCAGGCCACGAAAAAACCAUGACCACCCUUCUGCCUGCUCUUUCCGGUGCCAACACCAUCUACGGAGCUG
Molecule: non-coding RNA, 100 nt
Organism: Methanosarcina barkeri str. Fusaro
Lineage: Archaea; Methanobacteriati; Methanobacteriota; Methanomicrobia; Methanosarcinales; Methanosarcinaceae
Source: Rfam